CUGAAUUGAUGCUGAUUCCAUCCUAGUGUUGAGCUGCAGGAUUGAAAGAGACAGUAUACAACAGGAAAUGGUCUGGGAAAGACUUCAACCCGGGCCCCUACACAGAUGGGCUUUAGCCUGCAGUGCACAGACUGCUGACUCAACCAGUUUGGGCAGACUGAAGAUACAUAACAGAGCUGGAGGUUGUUUUUUGGAAACAGAUACCAGCUCAAAGAAGAGGAUGCAGCAGGAGAGAAGAUGAUCUGCAGGAUCCUGCUGCUCAUCAUCCUCACCUCAUGUAUCUCUGGAUCAUUUGUAGUCAAUGUGACACAGACCUCCUAUCAGGCAGAGGAGAACCACAACAUCACACUGGAGUGGACGUUCACCACCAAACCUGACAGAUCAACCAAAACUCUUUCCAUCAUUUGUUGCCUUAUAGCUUGCCAUGAACACUUUGUCCUCUAUCGUGUCAUUCAUGGUGUUGAGUUGUCAAAGUCUCGGGAUAAAAAGUUUUCAGGACGAGUCCAGAGUGACAAAGACGCCCUCAGAGAAGGACGAAUCAGACUUCAACUGUCCAGACUCAGGACUGAUGACUCGGGUCUGUACCUGUGUGAGGUCAACACUGAUUAUGGCUUCAGUUCUGCCAGAUGCAGAGUCAGUGUUUCUGGUGCUGAAAGUCGAAAUAAGAACUACUGGGAUCAAGUUAAAAUUGUUCUGGGAGUUUUAGAGAGUGCACUUUUAAUAGUUAGUGGCAUGAUAGUUUUGAUCAUUGUUGCUGUUCAGGGUCUUGUGCAGUCUUUUAGAAAACAUAAGAUAGGAGGUCCUCUUUUAAAAUGAACUACUUCAUCUGCUAUGUUUUAUGUUGCUGCUUUCAAUCUGAAUGUUUUCUGACAAAAAAAAACCAUACAAUUAAAGCCAACUAAAGAUGUUCUCUAUAAGGAAGUAUCGUAGAUUCUCUUCUUCAUGUUAGAUUAAAACCAAAAAUAUCUUUGUUUAAAUACAAGCUUUUGUAUAUUCAAAAAUUCACUGCACUUCUUUCACUAACGUUCAUUAUUGACUCCACGAUUUGUUCCAACUUCCAACUCAGCUUUCAGCAUUAGCUUCUCAGUGAGCACGCACAUUAUUAUUUAACUAAAAUAAAGAUGACUUGUUUACUGUGUCAAUGCCAAAUUCAUUCUCUGCCAAUUUAUUUCCAUGUUCUUCUGCAACUGUCAAAGUUUUCAGUUUAGAGCUCAUAAUGUAGCAGGAGUUUUUAACCACUUAAUUGCUUCAUUCUUCAAAGCUUGGUCUUUCUGCUUAUUUAACAUAUUUAGCCAUGUUAUUUAUAUAAGAGUUUACUUUUCUCUCAGACAGCUGAUGGACCAGAAGCGUUAUGGAAAUAACAAACAAUUUUCUAAAUAAAAAAUAAAAAUAUAUAAAGAAAGAGAAAGGAAAAAUACACAAAAAUAUUAUGCAUCAAUAAAUUUACUUUUUUUUAGGACAUUUCUGGUAUCUAAUGUUUCUAUUUAACACUGACCUAUGGAUCAUUCAAACAUUAAACAGUCACCUAACUCAGGGGAUGAACCACUGCUAUGUCUAUGGAUAACAGACCGCUUACAAAAGAACUAAUUUUAAAUUAUUAAGGCAAUUUAUAUAUGGCAGUCUGUUACAAGACAAAACACACCUGUCCCCAUUAAGUUGAAUCUACAAAAAAAUCCAAAGAUGGCAGAGUUUGACAAACAUAAAAUAGAAUUUUUUUUGCAGGAACAAGGCGAUUCUCAAAGAGCUAUUGGCUGAAACAAAAGAAACAAAAGAAGAGGCAGGCCAAUAGUUCACAGCCAAACCAGACAGAUCCUGGAUCUACAUCUUCAUACUCUGUGGCCUGAAAACUGGUCCUAAAGACUAAGUCUUGUUUCAUGUUUUGAAGAUGUUGAUGUGUCAGAGUCUCAGGAUGAAAACUUUUUCAGGACGAGUCCAGAGUGACAAAGACGCCCUCAGAGAAGGACGAAUCAGACUUCAACUGUCCAGACUCAGGACUGAUGACUCGGGUCUAUAUAUUCAAAGUGAACACAGACCAUGACUGAUUUGAUAGCUGCAGGCUCCAUGUUCCUGGCAAGGUCUUUUCUUUCCUAAUAUGUGUACUAUAUAUAAAUCUAUUGUGUAUUGAAACAAACAUUAUUAGGUGAAAUUCAGAUAUUCUACAGCUUAAUUUUCAGUGUAAACCAAUUCCAUAAACAUUUAUGAUACACAUGUUGAUGUCCUUCACCAAACAGUGGCCUCUGAUCAGCUAGAGGCAGAACCUCAAGGGAGAACCAUUUCUUUAUGUUAGACUGCAGCUAGUAGCAGCCCUUAUGGCUUUCUGUGUUUUUUGUAUUAUAUGGAGAAAACAGUAAAUGAAACACAAACAGUCUGACUUCAUUUUACAAAAUAAGUCAUUAAACCUUUACUUCAGGAGAUUUUGGAACAGGCAUUUUUGUACAUUAGACUGAGAGCUACAGGAGCUCUACCAGCUGUGUUUAACUCCAACUUUAACACAGAUAUAAGUGAAGCUGUAGAGAUGUUUGUUGUGUGCACUUACAUAAUAUGUACAUAAUAUUAAGUAUAAUGUCCUUUGCUACACACAACUCCAUGACAGUUUACAACACGUCAGAUCAUCUUCAUUGUUAACAUAAUUAAUCUGAAUCCUUUCAACAUUACAACAGUAAACACAUUAAACACUGAAUUUAUAUCUGCUGCACGUGGUGCGUGAGGUAGAGGUGUUUCCCUGUGUGAUUACAGUAAAGUGAACACAGUGCACAUUUCAUCAUCUGUCUGAUGAGUGACAAUUUGAUAAUGUGUCUUAAACAAAUAAACAAACAAAAAAACGAAGAUAAAAAAAAUCAAUUUGAUGUCCAUUAUUGUGUAUCAUGACACUUAUUCUCUGGCCAGCAUGUGUCCUAAUGCACUGUCUGUUAAAUAACAAUUAAAAUGCAGUUUUUAUCAGCUUUGAACCCCCAUGAGUACAUCCAUCAGGAUGUUAAACAGAUUUCAUUUAAAUAUUGGAGUUUUUAGCUUAUAUGAGUCUUACCUUUAUGGUGUUCAACUCUGGGAAAAGGGACGUCUCACCAUUGACAGUUUAAUAUCACCUGUGCAAAAUACAACUUUGAAGGUUUGUAUACUGAAAUACAUCAGAGCUUGUAUUUCAUGACAAUGACAUUUUAAAUGUCAUUUAAAAAAAGAUUGACUCUGAAUUUUUAGAUUUCUAGCCUUACAUGUAUCGCUUGCAAAGAGCACUUAAAGUAAAACAUGUCUUAUUAAACACUCAUUCACAU
Molecule: long non-coding RNA, 3269 nt
Organism: Oreochromis aureus
Lineage: Eukaryota; Metazoa; Chordata; Actinopteri; Cichliformes; Cichlidae
Source: Ensembl